AAAUCCUCACAGUCAAACUGUCAAACAGAUGGCGUGCCUUCAAAACUACUAAACAGGGAUAACAGCUUAACAGAUAACAAGCUCCAAAUCCUCACAGUCAAACUGUCAAACAGAUGGCGUGGCAUCAAAAGUACUGAAUGGGGAUAACAGCCUAAUAGAUAACAAGCUCCAAAUCCUCACAGUCAAACUAUCAAACAGAUGGCGUGCCAUCAAAACGGGGACAACAACUUAACAGAUAACAAGCUCCAAAAAAGUCCAACAGGCAUUCCGAUACCACCAGUACACGCAUAUGAAAUUCAAACAAAAAAAAAACAAAAAACCUUGAAUUUCAUAAACAUGAAACAAGUUAAUCAAGGAACUUGGGUUGUUGUAGCACAAUAAGGAAAGCAUGUACUGAAGUCUUUACAGGGAAAUAUCUGAAGAGCACCUGCCAGAGAGAGAUAGAUAAACUAGACAGCUAGGGGGGAAUUAGUUAGACUUGUGACUGAAUCAAGUGGUGCAUUUGCAUCUGAGUCGGAAAGCUAUCUAAGGACUAGGUUAUGGAACGUUUCCCCCCCAACCCCCUCGGGG
Molecule: long non-coding RNA, 570 nt
Filed under: Phoenix dactylifera (date palm)
Lineage: Eukaryota; Viridiplantae; Streptophyta; Magnoliopsida; Arecales; Arecaceae
Description: long non-coding RNA (PDAC_LNC009399)
Source: RNAcentral